AUUGAACGCUGGCGGCAGGCCUAACACAUGCAAGUCGAGCGAGCGGCGGACGGGUGAGUAAUGUAUGGGGAUCUGCCCGAUAGAGGGGGAUAACUACUGGAAACGGUGGCUAAUACCGCAUACUAUCGGAUGAGCCCAAGUGGGAUUAGGUAGUUGGUGAGGUAAAGGCUCACCAAGCCGACGAUCUCUAGCUGGUCUGAGAGGAUGACCAGCCAAACUGGGACUGAGACACGGCCCAGACGCCUACGGGAGGCAGCAGGGGGGAAUAGUGCGCAAUGGGGGCAACCUGACGCAGCCAUGCCGCGUGAAUGAAGAAGGCCUUCGGGUUGUAAAGUUCGGUCGGUAGCGAGGCGUUAACUACAGAAGAAGCACCGGCUAACUCCGUGCCAGCAGCCGCGGUAAUUC
This 405-nucleotide ribosomal RNA is filed under the name uncultured bacterium. RNAcentral describes it as "partial 16S ribosomal RNA". It matches the Rfam family "Bacterial small subunit ribosomal RNA", at positions 29 to 526 of the family's 1533-position model. The record is from RNAcentral.